GUAUGUAGCUCAGUGGUAGAGUGCUUGCCUAGCAUGUCUGAGGCACUAGGUUCGAUUCUCAGCACCACA
This 69-nucleotide transfer RNA is filed under the name Marmota monax (woodchuck). Its description in RNAcentral is "tRNA.Ala". The record is from RNAcentral. Lineage: Eukaryota; Metazoa; Chordata; Mammalia; Rodentia; Sciuridae.